Molecule: long non-coding RNA, 729 nt
Organism: Siniperca chuatsi (mandarin fish)
Lineage: Eukaryota; Metazoa; Chordata; Actinopteri; Centrarchiformes; Sinipercidae
Exons: 5
Source: RefSeq, a predicted model, not a curated record
CUAUUCCAAGAGAGCCAACUCUCAAUCCAAAAUGGCGACGAGAAAACGACGGAAGUCGUAGCAGGGAGCUGGGCAGGGGCUGGAUCAUACAUUCUAUGGGCCGAUUCAUGGAUCCAUGGCCUGGAUGGCCCAAAUUGGUUCCAUAACUUCCAGUACAACAGUGCGAGUUCCUGUCACCACCAGUCUGGAGACUGUCCUAUAGUCCAGGUGGAGAACACACUGUCCGUUCACCUGGCACACAAACUGCCGCACCUAAAGAAAAGUGAUGUGAGCUGCUGCUGCAGGGCUUCCAGGGUCAACAGCCUGCACGUAACAGGGAGCCGUGCCUCUGACAACAAAGCCCCAGCCCAAGGCAUCUCCUAUCACCUGUGAUGGCAGGAGGGAUUGCAUCUCACCACUGAGGUUGAAGCCAGCUGGACAAGAGGUGGACAUCCAGCAGAGUGAAGCUCAAGGGAAUUUAAGCUGCCUCGACGCCCACUGUUCAGAUAGGCGGCGGCGGCGGCGAAAAUUGAUGCAGAACUGAUAGAGCAGUCCACUGUCAAAGAAGCCAUGCUUCUUUGCCACUAGGAGUGGGAGAGAGAGAGAGAGAGCAAUAGUGGAACACGUUUUACAAUUAAUGGGAUUUUUCACAAAGUGUCAAUUGGUGCAUUUGCUUAAGACUGUAAAAGUCCCAGCUGGCCACCCACUGGUAGCAGCCACUGACAGUCAGCUCAUUCCUGGUGCCGUACA